Molecule: long non-coding RNA, 806 nt
Filed under: Mytilus galloprovincialis (Mediterranean mussel)
Lineage: Eukaryota; Metazoa; Mollusca; Bivalvia; Mytilida; Mytilidae
Source: RNAcentral
AAAAAUAAGGCUAGACUUGUACAACAAGCUAGAAAAGCUAUGUUCUAUAUUUUAUGUAAAGCGAGAAAGCUUAGUUUGCCAAUAGAUAUUUUGUUACAAUUAUUUGAUGCAAUUUUUGCACCUAUUUUGUUAUAUGGUGCAGAAGUAUGGGGUUAUGAAAAUAAUGACAUUAUUGAGUCUUUGCAUUUAGAAUUUUGCAAGUAUAUAUUAAAGGUUAAAAAAUGUACGCCAAACUAUAUUGUAUAUGGCGAACUUGGUAGAACACCAAUGUCUAUAAGUAUUAAAGCUAGAAUGGUUGGUUUUUGGCAGCGAAUUUUAAAUGGCAAAAAAAGAGAAAAUAUCUCGAACAUUGUAUGAUAUGUUGCAUGAACUGAAUGAAGGUGAUGUGUACCAUUCUAAAUGGUUAUUAUAUAUAAAAGAUAUUUUAAUUGAAUGUGGUUAUGGAAAUUAUUGGUAUGACCAAUCUGUAUUAAGAAAUAUAAGCCUGUCUAAAAAUGUAAAGCAAGUUCUUCAUGAAAAAUUUGUAGAAGGUUGGAAAUUACAAGUAUCUGACUCACCGAAGUGUAUUAAUUACCGUAUUUAUAAAUCUGAUUUUAACUUUGAGAAUUACCUCACUGUACUUCCACCUGACUUGAUGUAUAAUUUUAUUAAAUUUAGAUGCAUAAAUUGCCAAUUGAAGCUGGUAGAUUUUUUAGUAUCAAUAGAGCUGAAAGAAUUUGUGAUCUUUGUAAUAAGCAAGAGCUGGGUGAUGAAUUUCAUUAUAUAUUUAAUUGUAACUUUUUUACUCAAGAAAGACUCAAGUUUAU